GCUCUUACUACUAUCCACGGCCACGCUAUCAUGGAUCGUCUGUACCGCACCACUGUCGAGCCGGUGCUCCUGCGAGAGCGCCAGCAGUGCGGCGAAGAGGCAGAGGUGGCAGAUCUUGCGAGCGUGCUCCAUCGUGCGCCCAAGCUGGACUUCCACUGCCACCUUAACGGCAGUGUGUCGGCAUCGCUGCUGGCGCACCUGGAGCGGCUUCUCAUUCACGACGGUGCUCCGGUAAACGGGGCGGAUGGGGACAGCGGCAGGGCCGGCGAUGCCGAGGCGGGCCAUAUCCUCUUCUUCGACUCUCAAGAGAAGCGAAGGCAGAACGUGCUCACAGUAACCCCGGCGGACAGCGCCGACAGGGCGGCGGUGGCGGCGGCGGCAACGCCAACGGAACGGAUGCAUUACUGCUUCACCGUCUUCGACGCCAUCUACAAGGUCAUGACGAACCUCGCGUUCACCCGACUGGCUGUGCAGGACAUGCUCUUCACCAGCGCCGAGGAGAACAUCAUUGUAAUGGAGAUUCGGACGUCGAUGCGGGACGGGCUUCGACGCACCUUCCGCCGCGACGCGGCAGACGAGGAGGUGACGAAGCAGAUGUACGUGGACACGGUCAUUGAGACCGUCGAGCACAUACUCUCCGGUGGUUUGGUCGACUUAGCGACGGGUGAGCUGCUGACCACAAGCGCAUCGGCGCAGGUGUUGGCGUGGGGUGCGGCCUCUGUGACGCAAAGGGGUGCAGCAGAAGACGAGGCCGGUGAACAGGCGGCCGCGGCGCCAUGGUGGCAGCUGUACGAGCGCGUCUAUGGCAGCCUCCUGCAGCCGCCGUGUGAGUCGUCAUGCGUUCAAGAACGCCGCCGGUACUUUCUCGAGCAUAUCUUUAGGAACUUGACGGAGCGCAUGCAUGUGCGCCUGCUGCUCUCCGUCAACCGUGGUGCCACGGCAGCGGCCGCCUGGGAAGCCGCGCGGCUCACCACGAAGACGCAGCAACGGCAAGCCAUGGAGUUCCACUCGUGGUGCACGGCCCACAUGCGGGAGCGCAACGGCGAGGAAGCGAGGCGCGGCACAGCCAAUAACGAUUCGUCGUCCCCGGGCUCGCCAACCAGUGCUACCCCCUCCUCCUCCUCCCCCUCCUCUUGCCUGCAUCGCCGGCUGCGCAAGACGUGCUGGGUCACCGGUAUGGACCUCUCUGGCAACUGCUACAAGGGCAAGUACGCGGAACUGGAGCCGGCGCUGGCUGCCGCGCGCAGGGGAGAGGCAGAAGAGCAGGACAGCAGCGGCAUACGCGUCACCCCCUCCAUCACGAUUCACGCAGGGGAGAAGCAGGACCCGCAGGAGCUGCACGAAAUGGUGCUGUUCGCGCCAGAGCGCUGGGGCCAUCUCGUCUUCACGGACCCCGCGAACUUGUCUGCGAUCCUCGCGGCGCAGCAAGGGAUUGAGCUGUGCCUCACGAGCAAUAUGCUGACGGGAGGCCACUCUCACGUUGUGGACCACCACCUCGGUGACCUCCUGCAGCUUUGGGAGUCCAUGCCAGAGAGCCGUCGGCGCCGUGGCAGCGACACAGAGGGCAGGAGCGCGUUUCCGUGUUACGCGGCCACAGAGGCGGUCCGUCUUGCCCAUCGGCAGGCGCGCGCGAUGCGUCGGUGUGGCAAUCUGACGGCCGUGACCGAUCCAUCAGGGGCAGCGGAUGCUGACAGCAGCGAUGCAGCGAGCACGUUUGUGUUGCCGAACAUCUCCUUCCACACGGAUGACAGAGGUGUCUUUGGCACUACACUGUCCAAGGAGUUGCUCUUGGCCUCUCAGCACCCCGCCAUCAGGCAGCUGUGCAACCGGCUGACGGCAAACGCGGCGGGUGCGACCAACGGCGAUGCAGCGGCGGAGACGCCGUCCACAGCGGCCCUGGCGCACUUCUUCUGGUUGUUUGAGCGUUUGUCCUUGGCGCAGCUCUUUGAGCUGCCGUUGCCGGUGCAGCUGCUCGCAGCCGCCCUCUAUGAGCACUACUCGUGUGCGUCCGAGUCGGUCGCGGCCCAUAAAGGCGGUGCUCUCGAGGUGCUACAGGGAGCGGAGACGGGCGACUGGCGCGACUGGCCGUCUUUCGUGCGUGUGUGCAACAGCGUUGCUGCCUCCCCUGUAGAGGCAACGGCCACGCUGUCGGCGACACCGCUGCCAUCGCGGCUCAGUCGGUGGGAGUGGGCGUGGCUUACCAAGUGUUUUGACCGCUACUACGACUAGCUUGGUGGCGCAAAGCCGGCCCUCGGCCAUACCCCAUCUCAACCUCUCCGGCUCCCCCGCGUGCGUGUGUUCUCCGUAACGCGACACACACACACGCAGGUAAGCGUUGGCUGCCCCACCGUAAGCCCAGUUGUAUUGGGCAUGGCUCCUCAGCAGCACUCAGAUCUUGCUCUGCUCUCCUCUCGGCGUCUCAGUUCACUUGCGGACCUCUCGCGUAUCGCCUGAAGUGGUGGCCGACGGGCCGGCACUUAGCCACCAACACACGUACACGCACCUUCCUCUCUCUCCGCACCCUCCCGCCUGCACGGCGUUUCUUCUCUGUUGAAGAGGAAAGGUGCUGACGUAUUUCAGCGCUCUCGCCAUCUUGCAGGGUCGGCAGCGCCUUCGGCGGCGUCUCCUGCACAGCAUGUGUGUGUGUGUGUGUGUGUGUGUGUGUGACUCUCUUCUUUUGAAAAGUCGCCGUGCAGAACGGAGCGAGGGAAGGAGCCGGAGCGGCACUGCCGCACCGCCCCCUUCACCCAUCCUCCUAUGCGUGUGCAUCUCCGGCGGUCUCCACAUUGCUGGCCUCUUCAAUCCUCCCGCUCGGUCUCCAUCCCCUCACCCUCUCUGGCACCUUCCUCUGUGCAGACGACCGCUAUCCAGUACUGGAUAUCGGUGUGUGUGCGUGUGUGUGAGUGUCUUCCUAUAGAGACGCUGAAGAAUACCAACAAAAAAAGGGAAACGUCCGGCGUUAGAAGGGCAGUCAUGUCAGGCACGGGACGCCGUCGCAGGGUCACCCACACAGACAGACGGACCGAAGGCGAGAGGGCGUGCGGGCGUGCGGAGUGCUGUGUAGACAGGGGGUGCGUCGAAGCCUCACGGCGAAGGGAACGGCGCAUUGCCAGUGUGUAGCUGUGCGUGCUUGCUGCGUGCGUGCGUGUGUGUGUGUUUGUCUUCCUCUCCACGGGCAAGGGGCUGCGCAGGCGCACAGCUGCAUCCCCAUAUCCAUGCAGCCGUACCCGCAUAUACGCCACCGCCUUCUUGCUCCAUUUUGUUUUCUUUGGCUGUCAGCUUUACGUGAUGGUCACCACCAUCAGCAGCACCACCGUCAGCCAUCCUAUAACGCCGAUCUCCCCUCUCCUUUCUUCUCUGAUAGCGGGGCGCCAUUGCGUCAUCGUCUGUGGAGUCGCCACCCUCAUCCGCUCUCGUGCAUUUCCGCAUAACUUGCUCAUCCCUCCCCCACCCAACACACACACACACCACACCGCCCCCCCCCCU
RNAcentral lists this unclassified non-coding RNA (3486 nucleotides) under Leishmania donovani. RNAcentral's name for it is "gene:LdHU3.10.1250(CDS-product:hypothetical_prote in_conserved)". Lineage: Eukaryota; Euglenozoa; Kinetoplastea; Trypanosomatida; Trypanosomatidae. The record is from RNAcentral.